GACCGAUAUCUCAGUCGGAAUAGCGCCGCAGUCGCGUUGCUGAGGUCGUGGGCUCGAGUCCCACUCGGUCCA
Molecule: transfer RNA, 72 nt
Filed under: Chloroflexota bacterium
Lineage: Bacteria; Bacillati; Chloroflexota
Description: Chloroflexi bacterium tRNA-Ala
Rfam family: tRNA
About the family: Transfer RNA (tRNA) molecules are approximately 80 nucleotides in length.
Source: RNAcentral